GAACCCUAGGAGAGAGGAGCUUUGUUAGAGAGAGAGACAAAGAUAAGAGAUGAGAGGGAGAACCAUGGUGGUGUUUUUGAUUAAUGGUGUUGAUGGUGGUGGUUCCGACUAAGGGGUGUGGUGGUUGUCGACGGUGAGCAGUGGUGGUGGUGGAUGUAGUCGGCGACGGUGACGACGGUUAGGGUUUCACAUGUGUCGGUUGCGAGUUAGUGGUCACCGGUGAGUACCUAGAGAGAAGUUUUGAUGAUGCUGCCUGUUAUGGAAGGAGUUUGAUUGUUCAUAGAGAUGGAUCUGAUACACUAUGAACAAAGAAAUGAGGCGAUUUAAGAGGGGAUGGUUUCUUAGGGUGGUUGCCCUUCUCAAUCAAGUCCGCUUUUGACUUAAUUCAAGUCAGCCAUCCUUCUUUGACGCCCAUGAUUCUCUUCAUUCACCAAUAACCCUUCAUCUGAUACACACAUGUUGAAGAUGGAAAUAAUAUCCAUUUUGAAAGAGGCUAUGAUGAUGAGUUUCAAUGCGUCUGAGUUAAUUCUAGCAAAUGUGAGAUUUUCCGCAUCUUGGCGGGGUAACCAAAUGGUUAUGUGAUUCAUCUCUGUUUUCACAUGGCAAUCUAUAAAAAUCAUGGAUUAAGUUCCAGAUUAUCAUAUGCUGUCUCUUGAAGAUGAAAAUAUGAUCCAUUUUGAAAGGGGCUAUGAUGAGUUUCAAUGCUCCUGAGUGAAUAUGAGCAAAGAUGAGAUUUUGCACCAUCUUGCCGGGGCAACCGGUCCAGUCAUGUGAAAAACUGAAAGUCUGAUUUGACAUGGUAACCGUUGUGGUUAAAAAAAGUUUUAUCACUCAUUGUUUACAAGCUUGAUGAGUUUGUUAGCUACUAACCAACGCCGCGAGGAUGAUGAUUGAAGACAACUGACUAGAGACACUACUGGAGAUAAAAUUUCUUUUGUGCAUUUUUAUGUGUAUUCGUUUUUAUGGUAAGAUGUUGUUUACUUAUAUUAACAUGUCUUGAAGAGGUGUAAAUUGACGAAACAAUAGAAUACGAAACAUAUAACAUUAAAAAGUUUACCUUAAAUUCACGGUAAGCAGUAAAGAGUUAUGGGACUGACAUGUUUUUUCUUUAAUUUAACCAUUGAUGUGUAUUUUCAAGUCCAGAUUCAGAUUGCAAAAUAGCCACUAAACUGUCUAUUGAAUAGGUACAUAUUACAUAUGCGUAUGCUUCUUUUUGCUAUAGAGUACGAUUUGAGCACCUGUGUUAUCUAUAAUUGAGAUUUAUUUACGUUGUUCACACUUUUUUCAACGUCUAUGCAGAUUUUAAUUUUUAUUUGCAUUUGGUGGAAUUGAAUGCAGCCCAUGAACUCAGAAUUCAGCCUUUACGCUCUAUGGUAUAGGUUUGUGAUUUGGUAAAUGAACUUUUUUGAAGGAUUUGAGAGCCGACAGAAACGGAAUACUCUAACUCAAGACGGGAAUGAACAAAAGGAGAUGGUCACCAGACGGAAUGAAGUUGUGGGCUUAGCGGCUAAAUCACGCACUCGGAAACAGGUAUGGGUUGAAAGUUGAAACCAAUAGAAUUGAGGACCUGUCGUAUCCACAUAACAUAAUAUGUAAGGGUGAAGAUGGGGUCUCUAAGAUGUCUAUUUGGUCACUGAACCAUACACAAAAGCAUAUGGACCACCAUAAUGUGCUCCACUAGAUGGAUGUUCGACUAACACACCUGAAUGGAACGAAUUAAGGUAACGAAGAUUUUGUUUGGCGACUUUUAAAUCGAUAUUAGAAGUCUACAUGUGACAGAAAACAUGUUAUUGGAGAAAUCAACAUGGUUUUUCUUUUAGAUAACAUAGAUUUCAUGUAUAAUUUUUUUAUAUGAAUGGAAGUUUUGAAAAUUUGAUCUAAUAAAAGAUAAUAGAUGGGAGUUCUAGAGAAUUUGCAAUGUAA
This 1923-nucleotide long non-coding RNA is filed under the name Helianthus annuus (common sunflower). Lineage: Eukaryota; Viridiplantae; Streptophyta; Magnoliopsida; Asterales; Asteraceae. The record is from RNAcentral.